This 334-nucleotide unclassified non-coding RNA is filed under the name soil metagenome. Its description in RNAcentral is "partial contains 5.8S ribosomal RNA, internal transcribed spacer 2, and large subunit ribosomal RNA". The stretch from base 1 to 120 matches the Rfam family "5.8S ribosomal RNA", at positions 35 to 154 of the family's 154-position model. The record is from RNAcentral.
GAUGAAGAACGUAGCGAAAUGCGAUACUUGGUGUGAAUUGCAGAAUUCAGUGAAUCAUCGAAUCUUUGAACGCACAUUGCGCCCGCCAGUAUUCUGGCGAGCAUGCCUGUUCGAGCGUCAUUUCAACCAUCAAGCCCCAGGCUUGUGUUGGAGCCCUGCGGCUGCCGCAGCCUCCCAAAACCAGUGGCGGGCUCGCUAUCACACCGAGUGCAGUAGUUUACUCUUCGCUCAGGGCGUGUGGCGGGUGCUAGCCGUGAAACCCCCAACUUCUCAAGGUUGACCUCGGAUCAGGUAGGAAUACCCGCUGAACUUAAGCAUAUCAAUAAGCGGAGGA